This 277-nucleotide ribosomal RNA is filed under the name uncultured Prevotellaceae bacterium. Its description in RNAcentral is "partial 16S ribosomal RNA". It matches the Rfam family "Bacterial small subunit ribosomal RNA", at positions 511 to 788 of the family's 1533-position model. Lineage: Bacteria; Pseudomonadati; Bacteroidota; Bacteroidia; Bacteroidales; Prevotellaceae. The record is from RNAcentral.
GCAGCCGCGGUAAUACGGAAGGUCCGGGCGUUAUCCGGAUUUAUUGGGUUUAAAGGGAGCGCAGGCGGAGAUGCAAGCGUGCCGUGAAAUCGCGGGGCUCAACCCCGUCCAGCGGCGCGAACUGCAUCCCUUGGUUGCGGGAGAGGAAGGCGGAACUCGUGGUGUAGCGGUGAAAUGCAUAGAUAUCACGAAGAACUCCGAUCGCGAAGGCAGCCUUCCGGCCCGUUAACGACGCUCAUGCUCGAAGGCGCGGGUAUCAAACAGGAUUAGAUACCCC